GAGGGUAUAGCUCAAGUGGUAGAGUGCAUGCUUAGCAUGCAGAAGGUCCUGGGUUCAAUCCCCAGUACCUCCU
RNAcentral lists this transfer RNA (73 nucleotides) under Camelus bactrianus (Bactrian camel). It matches the Rfam family "tRNA". Rfam says of the family: Transfer RNA (tRNA) molecules are approximately 80 nucleotides in length. Their secondary structure includes four short double-helical elements and three loops (D, anti-codon, and T loops). The record is from Rfam by way of RNAcentral. Lineage: Eukaryota; Metazoa; Chordata; Mammalia; Artiodactyla; Camelidae. RNAcentral also lists the same sequence under 2 other names.